GUAGUGUGCCUCCUUCCUGCUGCCUCGUUGGCCUGCAGGCGGGAGCCCCAGGGACUGGAGCAUU
This 64-nucleotide microRNA precursor is filed under the name Nannospalax galili (Upper Galilee mountains blind mole rat). Its description in RNAcentral is "miRNA (ENSNGAG00000006207.1)". The record is from RNAcentral. Lineage: Eukaryota; Metazoa; Chordata; Mammalia; Rodentia; Spalacidae.